GUCUCCGUAGCUCAGUGGAAGAGCACAAGGCUGCGAACCUUGGUUUGCGUAGGUUCGAUUCCUAUCGGAGAUACCA
This 76-nucleotide transfer RNA is filed under the name bacterium. Its description in RNAcentral is "tRNA-Arg". It matches the Rfam family "tRNA". From Rfam's summary of the family: Transfer RNA (tRNA) molecules are approximately 80 nucleotides in length. The record is from RNAcentral.